UCCAUAGUGAUGAAAAAUACUUAAAUGACUUUCGUUCUUCUGAUCCUUGAUGAUCUUUUUAUUCUGAAUGGA
RNAcentral lists this small nucleolar RNA (72 nucleotides) under Mytilus galloprovincialis (Mediterranean mussel). The record is from RNAcentral. Lineage: Eukaryota; Metazoa; Mollusca; Bivalvia; Mytilida; Mytilidae.